This 245-nucleotide ribosomal RNA is filed under the name uncultured bacterium. RNAcentral's name for it is "partial 16S ribosomal RNA". It matches the Rfam family "Bacterial small subunit ribosomal RNA", at positions 528 to 772 of the family's 1533-position model. The record is from RNAcentral.
UAGGGGGCAAGCGUUAUCCGGAUUCACUGGGCGUAAAGGGAGCGCAGGCGGCACGGCAAGUCUGGUGUGAAAACCCGGGGCCCAACCCCGGGACUGCAUUGGAAACUGCCGGGCUAGAGUGUCGGAGGGGUAAGCGGAAUUCCUAGUGUAGCGGUGAAAUGCGUAGAUAUUAGGAGGAACACCAGUGGCGAAGGCGGCUUACUGGACGAUGACUGACGCUGAGGCUCGAAAGCGUGGGGAGCAAA